GAUGAAGAACGUAGCGAAAUGCGAUAAGUAAUGCGAAUUGCAGAAUUUCCGUGAGUCAUCGAAUCUUUGAACGCACAUUGCGCCCACUGGUAUUCCGGUGGGCAUGCCUGUCUGAGCGUCAUUUCAACCCUCGCCCCCGGCUUUUGCUGGGAGCGGUGUUGGGGAUCGGCCGCCCGUCACUGGGAGGCCGGCCCCGAAAUAGAGUGGCGACCACGCCGUGUGCUCCUCUGCGUAGUAGUAAAUCACCUCGCAGGCGGACAGCGGUGCGGCCUGCCGUAAAACCCCCAACUCUUUCUGGUUGACCUCAGAUCAGGUAGGAAUACCCGCUGAACUUAAGCAUAUCAAUAAGCGGAGGA
Molecule: unclassified non-coding RNA, 356 nt
Filed under: soil metagenome
Description: partial contains 5.8S ribosomal RNA, internal transcribed spacer 2, and large subunit ribosomal RNA
Rfam family: 5.8S ribosomal RNA (bases 1-121)
Source: RNAcentral